GAACAGUAACAAAGACUGGAAUAACUGCGAAGAAUUUGUGAAAAAAAUUAUGUACGUACAUAUAUACAUAUUUACACACAUUUUUGAAUGCCUGAAAAGUGUUUUUAUAAUUGUUUACUAGCUAAUUAUUUUGAAAGCCAAUAAAUUGUGCACUUUACUAAAUAUGUGGCAAGUAGCAAAAAAGUAAUUGUCAAUUAAAUGAACUUCAUUAGUAGCAAAUUUAAUUUGGAGUAAAAACUCUAUUCGAAUUGGGUCUGUUCUCUGGAUUUAUAACUGCCGUUUAAUCAGCAGCUCACAAGGAAGCUUUUAAGCCUCAAGUAAACUCAGGCUCUCUGUCUGCCAUCUCCAUAAAUUUCGCGCAUUAGUUCGGACCUAGUAAAUGCACUUUAUAGCAAUAGAAUGAUUUAAAGAAAAAAAAAGUAUACUGGCU
This is a long non-coding RNA of Bactrocera latifrons, 430 nucleotides long. RefSeq lists it as uncharacterized. Lineage: Eukaryota; Metazoa; Arthropoda; Insecta; Diptera; Tephritidae. The record is from RefSeq and is a predicted model, not a curated record. The transcript is spliced from 3 exons.